UCUAUGUGUGUGUGGGCCGCGAGAGUGA
RNAcentral lists this small RNA (28 nucleotides) under Bombyx mori (domestic silkworm). Its description in RNAcentral is "ovarian small RNA-29539". The record is from RNAcentral. Lineage: Eukaryota; Metazoa; Arthropoda; Insecta; Lepidoptera; Bombycidae.